Molecule: ribosomal RNA, 468 nt
Filed under: uncultured bacterium
Lineage: Bacteria
Description: partial 16S ribosomal RNA
Rfam family: Bacterial small subunit ribosomal RNA
Source: RNAcentral
GACGCACGCUGGCGGCGUGCUUAACACAUGCAAGUCGAACGGAAAGGCCCUGCUUUUGUGGGGUGCUCGAGUGGCGAACGGGUGAGUAACACGUGAGUAACCUGCCCUUGACUUUGGGAUAACUUCAGGAAACUGGGGCUAAUACCGGAUAGGAGCUCCUGCUGCAUUGUGGGGGUUGGAAAGUUUCGGCGGUUGGGGAUGGACUCGCGGCUUAUCAGCUUGUUGGUGGGGUAGUGGCUUACCAAGGCUUUGACGGGUAGCCGGCCUGAGAGGGUGACCGGCCACAUUGGGACUGAGAUACGGCCCAGACUCCUACGGGAGGCAGCAGUGGGGAAUAUUGCACAAUGGGCGGAAGCCUGAUGCAGCAACGCCGCGUGCGGGAUGACGGCCUUCGGGUUGUAAACCGCUUUCGCCUGUGACGAAGCGUGAGUGACGGUAAUGGGUAAAGAAGCACCGGCUAACUACGUG